GAUGAGGACAUCCCAGGUUCACCUCGUUUAUCAUCUUCUCCUCAUGAUAAAUCUUAACCAUCAAAUGAAGCUUCUACAAAGAAGACUUAUUUGGGUCCCAUGACAAGGAGUCGUGCCAAACAAAUAGAACGAGAGAUGAAUGCGCUUCUAGCUAAUCAUAAUUCAAAUAUCCAUGAGAACUUUAUACUGCCUAAUUCUUGUGUGCUGAUUUUACUCAGGUACAAUGCUAAGGACAACCAACAACUUUCAGCUCAUGAAGAAACAAGUUUAGCUCGCGAAGGAAUAAGUUCUGAAACUCAUACAACAAGUUUGAAGGAAACAAGUUACACCUCUGAUAUAAAGCAAGUUUUGGUGGACAACUACUUGGGGCAUCUCCAACACCGACUCUCAAACCGCCCGCAUACGUCUGUACCGCGCUGUACGGGCGUGUUAUGCCAUCCAACGUGGGCUUGUAUCGGUCCGUGUUAUGCCAUGUUUACAACAAUUUUAUAUGGUUUUGGUAUGGUUUGGUUAGAACUAACCUGGACUGACGCUGUUUUCAGAAGAAUUACCGUGGUGUUGUUUUCUGUGCAGAAAUAA
This 579-nucleotide ribosomal RNA is filed under the name Triticum aestivum (bread wheat). Its description in RNAcentral is "partial small subunit ribosomal RNA". The record is from RNAcentral. Lineage: Eukaryota; Viridiplantae; Streptophyta; Magnoliopsida; Poales; Poaceae.